Molecule: non-coding RNA, 29 nt
Filed under: Homo sapiens (human)
Lineage: Eukaryota; Metazoa; Chordata; Mammalia; Primates; Hominidae
Source: RNAcentral
CCAAUCACAACAAGACACGGUGGGAACUC